This 767-nucleotide long non-coding RNA is filed under the name Zonotrichia albicollis (white-throated sparrow). Its description in RNAcentral is "lncRNA (ENSZALG00000007966.1)". The record is from RNAcentral. Lineage: Eukaryota; Metazoa; Chordata; Aves; Passeriformes; Passerellidae.
CAGAGAUAAGAAUAAUGUCAAGGUUUGCAGGUGCAACGCCAUACGAAUAACAGCACAAAAACAACAGCAGGAGAAAGCUUAAAAAUAAUGAAGCAGCUUUGGUGAAAGUUUACAGACCUGCAAGCAGAAGAAGACAGGCUACAGUACUGCAGAGAAAAGGACCUGAGCAAUACAAGGUGAAGCCAUUCUGCAACAGCUUGGUGUCUGCUCUUCUCUCUCCACUUCAGCUGUGUUCUCACAUGCUGCAGCACCUCUGCAAGAAACAGAACCUCAACUCCUGCCUUGAUGCCUUGCAGCGCUGUCACCACCGUUUGUGUCUCCAAAGUCACAUCUGUGCCCUCACUCAGUGUGCCUCUUCUGAAACCGCCAGGUACUACAUUGGGUUUUGGUAGUGUGGGACUGUAUUAGUGUCUUCUGUGAGGAGCUGCUGGAAGCUUCCCUCUUGUCUGAUGCCAGCCAGAUCCAGGACAGACCCACCAGAGGCCAAGGCUGAGCCCAGCACCAAUGGUGGAAGCACUUCUGAGGUAAAAGACAUAAGAAGGGGGAAAAACUUCUGGGCAACAGCAGUCGUAGGAGAAGAAUGAGACUAUAUCACAGGAGCAGUCCUGCAGACCCCAAGGUCAGCUCAAUAGGGGGGCCAGGAGGUGCUCCAGGCACCAGAGCUGAGAUUCCCCGGUAGCCCAUGGAGGUGCAGGGUGGAGCAGGGAUCCAUCCACCUGCAGCCCCUGGAGCAUCUCAUGCUGGAGCAAGUGGAAACUUAAAGGAGG